GACGAACGCUGGCGGCGUGCUUAACACAUGCAAGUCGAACGGAAAGGCCCUGCUUUUGUGGGGUGCUCGAGUGGCGAACGGGUGAGUAACACGUGAGUAACCUGCCCUUGACUUUGGGAUAACUUCAGGAAACUGGGGCUAAUACCGGAUAGGAGCUCCUGCUGCAUGGUGGGGGUUGGAAAGUUUCGGCGGUUGGGGAUGGACUCGCGGCUUAUCAGCUUGUUGGUGGGGUAGUGGCUUACCAAGGCUUUGACGGGUAGCCGGCCUGAGAGGGUGACCGGCCACAUUGGGACUGGGAUACGGCCCAGACUCCUACGGGGGGCAGCAGUGGGGAAUAUUGCACAAUGGGCGGAAGCCUGAUGCAGCAACGCCGCGUGCGGGAUGAAGGCCUUCGGGUUGUAAACCGCUUUCGCCUGUGACGAAGCGUGAGUGACGGUAAUGGGUAAAGAAGCACCGGCGAACUACGU
RNAcentral lists this ribosomal RNA (467 nucleotides) under uncultured bacterium. RNAcentral's name for it is "partial 16S ribosomal RNA". It matches the Rfam family "Bacterial small subunit ribosomal RNA", at positions 28 to 506 of the family's 1533-position model. The record is from RNAcentral.